RNAcentral lists this ribosomal RNA (318 nucleotides) under uncultured bacterium. RNAcentral describes it as "bacterial SSU rRNA". It matches the Rfam family "Bacterial small subunit ribosomal RNA", at positions 93 to 428 of the family's 1533-position model. The record is from RNAcentral.
UAGUGGCAGACGGGUGAGUAAUGCGUAGGAAUCUACCUAGUAGUACGGAAUAGCCAUUAGAAAUGGUGGGUAAUACUGUAUAAUCCCCGAGGGGGAAAGAUUUAUCGCUAUUAGAUGAGCCUACGUUAGAUUAGCUAGUUGGUGAGGUAAUGGCUUACCAAGGCUAUGAUCUAUAGCUGGUCUGAGAGGACGAUCAGCCACACUGGAACUGAGAUACGGUCCAGACUCCUACGGGAGGCAGCAGUGGGGAAUAUUGGACAAUGGGCGGAAGCCUGAUCCAGCUAUGCCGCGUGAGUGAAGAAGGCCUUCGGGUUGUAA